Long non-coding RNA from Lagopus leucura (white-tailed ptarmigan), 9142 nucleotides. RefSeq lists it as uncharacterized. Lineage: Eukaryota; Metazoa; Chordata; Aves; Galliformes; Phasianidae. The record is from RefSeq and is a predicted model, not a curated record. The transcript is spliced from 8 exons.
GGGAGAAGGGGAGAGGAUGGGGAAAGGGUUUGGGGAGCCCGGAGGUGGAAAAGAAGAAAACAAAACUUGUUUUUUCUUUUCUACUUUCAUUUUCCUGAAACACGGGAGAAAGUCCCGAAGUGCUGGGAGGAGACGGCGGAACUGAAAGCAUCGGGCUGAGAGCGACCUUCUUCCAAGGAAAAGCAGAGCAAAGAGGAAGGGAAAAACUCUGGUUCCGAUUUCCCACUCGCCCUACUGAUGUUCUGCAGCCCUUCAGAGCACAAACCCUCAGCGCCCAUUAAAAAGCCAUUUACCCACUGAAAAGCAGGCGUCAGGACAAUGGAAAACCCUCCUACGAACCACCAAGGGUGGAACCCAGUGCUUCAGUUUAACCUGGGAAGCACUGAGAUGGCUGGCACUGCGUUUCUGCUCCUGCGCCGCAUCGCCACACAGCCCGAUUUCUCCCUCUUUUUGGGAGUAAGCGUUGCUCCAGAAACUGUGGGGUUUAGAAAUGCAGGAUGUGGGUCAUCGCAGCAAGGAGGCAGAGCUUCACCUGUUGUGUAGUGGCUCGGAGGAUGCAAAAGGUUUCUUUGUUCUUCACCGUGACAAGCAGAGCUUUCUUCCUUAUUGUCACUGUUUGGCAUCGUAAGCGGAAUCUUCUUUCAUCUUUUCCCCUGCGAUGAGGAUGCUGUGACGAUGCUCUGGGAGAGGCAGCGAUUCACUCUGCUCCAGGAUUUAGCUCUGCCCUCAGCUGAGCCACAGAUGCUGCGGAGAGGUUGCCAGGGAUGCAGACACAAUCCUACCUCCAGGUUUUUGCUGCAUCCCCGCUGCUGAGCGAGAUAUGGAUCAUACCCGGGAUUAUCGCCCAUCUGACUGGGAGGAAGGGAUGCUGAGAUGUCGGGUUGCAAGGGAGAUGGAUCUGGGCGCCAGGUUUUCGUGCCGUCUCGGUGCCGUGGGGUGGGAGUGGGGUGUGGGGACCCCCCCAGUGAUGCGGGGUGCGGGAUUUUUCAGUUCUGGUGCCGCUGCUGUGCUCACGGUGAGGUCUCUGUGGCGCAAUGGACGAGCGCGCUGGACUUCUAAUCCAGAGGUUCCGGGUUCGAGUCCCGGCAGAGAUGAUCUCCAGGCAGGUGUCUCUUUUAUUUUACGUCUAUUCCUCCAUAAAUCCCCAUCCUGCUCCUUUACGACACCCCAGAAGGCUUCAGGCGGGAGAUGAUGACUUUUGACGGCGGCGUCUCGGCCGCUGACGCUCGCAGUGCUCGCGUGCUCCCCAUCCAAGUUCUGCUUGUUGGACCUGUCUGAUGCUUUAAGCAAGCUGCUGUGUUUCCAGUAGAAAUCCGGUGGUCAGGCAGUGGUUUGGAACCUUGUGUUGGUAUUUCGUUUGAUAAGUGUGGCUUGUCUUUCAAAUAUAUGGACAAAGGAAAAACAACAGUAGGUCGAUAUUCCGAGUUCUUACCUUACAGAAAUCUUCUGCAAAUGCCCUUAUUUUUCAUGUUUUCAUGUUGAUGAUGCACGUUUGCUGGCAGCCACCUCCAUAUCCCCAUGGAGGUUCAUCUUUGUAAGUAGCAAACAUUGACGAAAGACAAAGAUCCUGACCCUACAGUAGAGCUUCUUCCCCCUCUGUGACCUUUGAAGACUUUUCUCCACUUGAAAAGUGGGUUUCUUUCCAUUGGUGUCAGCAUAGAAUCUCCUUCUGGGAAGGCUAAAAAAAAAAAGUCCAAAGAAAUAAUGUGCAUGACCUCAGGGGUUGGAUGUGAAUAGAGCCCAAAACAGUGGGGAAGGAGGGCAGGAAAAGCCUUACAUGAGAAGGUUCCAUCACAGUCCCAUUCCUCUGGAUGGAGGGGUGAAAAAAAUAUGAGUGCCAGAGCCCCAGCUCCAUGUCCAGCAACUCCAUCACCCUGAGCAUCUCCUAUGGUGAGUGCUGAGAACUGCUCUGUGCUGUCCUGGGACAAACAGCCCCGUGCGUAUGGGAGGCAGAACUGUUGGCUUUGUGGGCUGAGCUUUGGGGAAGGGGCUUCUUGUUUCCAUAUCUCUUCAAAGUACAUCUUCCUAAAGAAGAUGUUCCAACCUCUGCAAUGGGCAAGGCUGCCUUCAGCUAGGUCUUGGAUCUUGGAUCUUACACCUCUUCCUGCAUCCUUCCAGCUGCUGCCACCAGAACCUGGCGAUGUCCUGAUGGCAGCAGCUGGGAGAAAGGCAGAAUCUGAGUGGCUGGGUGCAGGAGUUGGGCAGAACGCGCUCAGCUCUGAGGUCCGUGAGGGUGGUUUGUUUCCCAGGUGUCUCCUCACUCUUCUGCAGCCCUGUCAGAGCGCUGCUGCUGCUGGCAGCGCUGGGGAUCCUAUUGCUGGGGGUGGUUGUUGUCCAUGUCCUCACUGCAUGCAGCAGAGAGCCAAAAGGAAUGGAGCACCAAACUCCCAUGGAAGCAUCUGCAUCAGUCGUGCUCCAGGAGAGGAUGUUUGAGGCUGUCCCUGCAAGGGCACCCAGGAAGUGAGCUGAAUGAGUGUCCCCGCAUCCUUCCCCCAACCUGACCUGUCCACGUUGCAGUAAAGAGAUGCUUCCGUUGGUUUUACUGUGUACAUUGCCCAAUAAAGCAUUGCUGAGCAUGGGGAGUACCAGACGCCGUGACACCCCCAGUACAACUAAACACCCGAGCACUCUUCCCCCAUCGCUUCGGCACUUCUUUUGAACCGUUUUCCUCUCCGCACUAAGCCGAGAACGCACCCGCUUGGCCCUCCCAGCGGUCCUUUCGUGCUCCCGGGUGCGUCUGAUUGGUGCAGCGCUGCAAUAUAUUUGCAUGGCCACGCCCUUUAUAGCCGCGCCCGUCCAUCCCGGCCACCCGGAAGUCCCUUUCCUCCCAUUGGAGCCUCUCUGCCCUGCCGCUCUCUAUGGUCAGCGGUCUUCCACGUGGCCCUACUUGUUCUGGGGGACCCCUGGAGACCCACCAGGUCCUCCCCGCUGUUCUUGGGAUGCCUCCAUGGGUGGGACACCCACACUGCUCUGUGCAGCAGCGCCAGGGCCUCACUGCCCUCUGAGUAAAGAAUUUAAGGUCCCUUGCAGCCCAACCCCUUCCGUUGUUCCAUGGUUCCGUGGUUUCUAAGGCCCGUUCCAACCCAACCGUUCUGUGAUUCCAUGGAUCUAUGAUCUUCCAGAUCUCUUCCCACCCAACUGUGCUGCGAUUCCAUGGUUCUGUUGUCUUUACAGUCCCCUCCAACCCAACCCCUUCUGUAUUUCCGUGCUUCUAAGAUCUUUAAAGGUCCAAGGGAGGAACGUUAUGGAGCUCCUGCAGUAGCUGCGCACCACUGCUCUGCUGGUGUUGGCUGAUCAUUCACCCUCUGGAGGUGAAGCUGUGCUAUCAGUCGCUGCAAGCCAAGGCAGUGCCAGUGGCAUCAGCAAAGUAAGAAAUAUCCUGCUCUGCUCCGUGCUCCUUGGACCAUACUGGGAAUGCUGGUCUCGCUUUUUGCCAUUCAGAAAGGCUGGAGAUGGACUGGAGAGGAUUCAAAGCAGAACCGUGGGAUGCUUCAAGGGCUGGUGAGGGGCUGGACUUGUUCAGCCUGGAGAAAAGGCUCAGGAGACCUCAUCUGUGUGUCCCAGUAUUUGAUGACUGUCUGCAAAGGAGUCGGACGCUCCUCAUUUACAAGGAACCAUGCACAAAAAAAUGGGAAAUGGGCACCAGUGGCACUGGAGGAGAUUCCAGUUGGUCCCAAGAGGACAAUUUUGUCACUAUGGUAACAUGCAGACGCUGCAACAACUCCCCAGGGCCAUGGUGGAAACUAAUACUGGAGAAUGUAAGGUUUGGAUACACAAAGUGUUGGAUGCUCUGCUAUGGGAUGUGCUUUUAUCACAAUAGAUUGGACCAGCUGACCUCUGAGGUCCCCUCCAACCUGAGCUUUGAUUUCUCCCGUCUCUCUGAUUUCUGUAAUUCCUAUUAAACCUCACAGUGUUGACUCCUGGCAUCUCAGGACAACCAUCCUUUGGGCUGUACCAAAGCAUCUCCAUUAACAUCUAACAAUGUACAGAGCUGGGAAAUGGCAAAAAUCUGCUUCAAUCCCCAAAGCUGCUGAGAUUUUGCUGCUUAGAGACAGAAGUGGGGCCGGGCAGGUUCGCCCCAUCGGGAUAACAAUGCUGUGCUUUCCGUGCAGGCAUUGCAAUCAGCAGUGUGCUUCCACGCUGUCACACACAACUGAGACAGAAAGUCAAUUGUUAGUCACUUUAUUGGCAGGAGUUCAUAUUUACAACAGAAUAAUAGGAAGUAGGAAAGAAGCUAGUCAUUACAAAGCUCCUCAGUGUUUGCACAGCUUUUAUGGCUCAGGAUGGCAUCAUCCAUCUGCCGGGGGGGGGAAAAAAAUCUGUGUAUAAAAUCACAGCCGUACUAAAAACAGAGAUGACCGCUUCGUGCAGAGGAUGUAGCUUCCAAUGCAGUGACGGUGUUCUUUUCUUCGUCUCAGCCGUCGUGUCUGCAAAGAGGGGAAGAGGUUAGGAAGUGAUUCCCAUGUCCUCCCAUUGUGUGUUGGAUGGACUCGAGGCCGUGGGGGAAUUCAGAGCACACCUGGAUGCCAACAGGGUUUGGGCUCCGGGGUCGUGGAGUUCCCCAUGCUGGAGGCUGCAUGCAGAGUGUGGGAUGGGUGGGUGCUUUGGGAAACACCCUAAAAGUCCCUUUGGCUUUUGGUUUUUACACAGUUCCUGUGGUGAUUCACGCUUCUUUGGCUGUCGUUAGCGCAGAGCUGGGUGCCCAGAGGUCUGAUGGUUGUGGAAAGGUGCUUCAGAGCGCUGCUGCUUCGGAGAGAAUUGCGUUUUGCUGGCUUAAAGGGGUGCUUGGAGUGAGUGCUUGGCUUUGUACCUUUGGUGCAUCAUAGCAGGAGGUGCAGGAGGCUGAGGAGGAGGAGCAGAGGCAGAUGGCACUGCAGGGGUAAUCCCUCCGCGUCCAAAUAUUCCUGGGAAGUCAAUGAAAAGAAAUGGGUCAAAACCAGCAUGGUUUGGAGCUGUGUUGUGCGGUGGCAGAAUUCAUGCCCUGCCCAACUGCUCUGCCUUCAUGCUGUCCCCUUGCUUAGGCCUUGGGGAAAAUAAAUGUGCCCAGGAGUAUCUUCGUUGGGAUAAUCCCUGUUGGGAGUGUCCCUGUGGGGAGCUGGGAGCAUCCCAGUUGGGGCAGUUUCCAUUGGGAGCAUCCCAGUUGGGAUCAUUUCCAUUGGGAUCGUCCCAGUUGGGGCAGUUUCCAUUGGGAGCAUCCCAGUUGGGGCAAUCUGCAUUGGGAGCAUCCCUCGGGGGACUCUCCCUAUCAGAAGCUUAGCAAAGCAAAGACCUCCAGUUUGCUUAGAAUUUGGAAGAGUACCACCAUCUUUCCCAAAUCUCUUCCCCAAAGCAAUAUGGUGCUCAAAGGGGCGUUCAGGAAGAAUCACAGCCUGCAUGCAACAGCACAUCACAGCUGCGGCGUGGAUGCAUUCCACCCAAACACUUCUGUGUUGUCCAACAGUUGCAAGUCAACAUUUCAAACCCAUUUCUCACUGCAGUGGAAGAACCCUUUCUACUUUUUUUCAGUAAUACGAAGAGGAAGUCCGACUUACCUCACCUUCAUAGUAUGUGAGCACCGUGUACACUGUGGGCAUUAGCGUGGUGUUGUCAUAAUAGUACUCUGCAGUGGCAUAUAAGUAAUCACCUGGAAUGAAAGCAAGGCCCCGUGAGCCCAUUUUGCAUCUACAUCCAGUGUAACCCAUUGGCUUGGCGGGAUGCAAUCUCAUGUGAUGAUGAGAACUGCAGGGGCCAGACCAGCUCCAUCAAAACAGCUCUGGAUUGUCCUUUGAAUCCUCUUUCCUACCCCAGCUCCCCACCCCACCUCGCUUUCAUCGCUCAAUUUGCACAAAAUUAGCCCAAAACGAAGAUUGCUUACUGUAGUGAGAUGCGUAGUCGUAUAAAAACUUGGUCAUUUCCUCGUCUCCUAUCUCAGCAUUUCCUAAAAAAAAAAAAAAACACAAAAAAAGAAACGCUUUGCCUUCCCCCCUGCACGGAGCUCUGUGGGAUGUGGUUUUGCAGGAAUGGUUUCGCUGAUUUAUUGGCUCUUUGUGCAAAAGUUGCUUCUCCCCCCCUCCCCCCGUGGGAGUAACGGAUUCCCAAUCUGGUCCGUAAUUAAAUCAAGGUCGUGGAACAAAAGAUAUCAAGUUACGGGCUGGCCGCCGCGUCGCGUUUUCCUGUAUUUUAGGGACGGAUUUGAAGGAAAGGAGCGGAGUAAUGGGGGCUGUGGGGCUCAUCCCCAGUGCCCACAUCCAUCCUGGGUGCCCUCGGGGUGCUGCGAGCGCUCACCUGGCAUUUCCUCCCUGCCAAGCCACUAUAAAUGGACGCACACACAGCUCAAUCCAAACCACGGCAAGCCCCCGCUCGUUUCCCUUCUCCACAUCGGACUUUUGUAUACAGGGAGCCAAUUGGGAAUGGACGAUUUGACACCCAUCACGUUAAGGUUGCAUGGGGGUUGGUAGCUGCCCCUCUCUGCCCUACAACCUCCCCAGCCUGGACCCAGUGGUUCUCAGCGUCACACCCCACCGUUAGGGAGCAUGACGACUCUGAAUCCCAUUUCCCUGCCUCUAAAGCUGCUCACAUCCCAUCAAUCUCCAGUUUUUGGAGCUCCAUUUCGCUUCAUACCCACCCAGCCGACAUCCUAUGGCCAUGGGAAAAGCUGUGCUCCUUUUGGCUCCAGUUGGAUAAACUCCCAGCACUUUCUCCCCACGCAUUCUGAGAAAGCUAUUUGCUGUAUUUACGCUGGAGCCACGCUAAGAAUAAUACGGGAAAUAAUACGGGAGUCACAGCGAGGAGCUUUCAUCCCAAAAUCCCAUUUAACCCCUCAAAGGACACCCAGCUCCAUUCCUUGGCUGCCUGGGAAGCAGGAGCAGCUCUGGGUGCUGCCACUGCCCAACUUGACUCCAGUUCUGCCUUCCCAAAGCACAGCUGGAGCAAUCCUGCCUUUUCCCUCGCCCUGUUUCUAUCUCUCUUACAGCUCUCAGCUGUACGGAGCGUUCAUUUGAGUGCAGUACAGCAAGCAUUGCAAUCUAUCAAACCUUGAGCACACGCUUUGCUGUGACCCAGAGCUCCCAGCUGCUCUCAGUUCGCCCCCCCAGUUGCUGAGAAAACACCCCCAAAACCCUUCAGCCCCGCACAGCAUCUCAGCAUCACAACCACCCCCAAAGCAGCAAAUAGGAAUUUGUAAGUAAAAAAAAAGAAAUGCCUUUUUACCCAACGUAAAAUGAAGAAGGAUGAGUGAUGCCCAUGCAAAGUUCAUCAUCCUAUACGUCCCGGCGUCGCCUUCGGACGCUGCUCCGCACUGCUCAGUUCCUUCAGACGUCCCGGAGCUGCAGCCCAGAGGCAGGAAAUGACACUGAGGGGGGUUGGACGAGCUGCCCCCGCACUGGGAUGUAGGAUGUGGGACACCGGGACCCCCGCACCACGCAGGGUCAGGUUGGGCUGUGGGCUGUGCUGCUGAGAGCUGCUGAUUUGGGGCCGGAGCUCUCAGAUUCGGUUCCCCCUCCCUUCAACACUUUGGGGAUUUUUAUUUUUAUUUUUAUUUUUUCUCCAGCUGUCAUUUCGCUUCCUGCCUCAGUUUCCCUAUCAGAAAGAAGAAACGUGACCAGCUGCAGGCUGAGGUUAUCUGAGUCCCGUGGAGCAGAGGAAUGCCUUCUUUUGGGGAGGCUCUUUGCGCAUCCACACAUGCGGUGAUCAGAGAAGGAAAUACGAGGGGAAGCAAAAUGCUGCUGCUCUGCUUUCUGGGGUGGACGGUUCAGAGCCUUCUCCAAAAAGGCAACGGAGCGCAGGCUGGACUCAGGAGGAGGGGAGAGGAGAUGGAGCAGGAAGGUGUGGACGAUCCCAUCCUCUGCUUGAAGCAUUGCAUCAUUUCCCACCUUCCAUAGGAGGAAGCAAAACUCGAAGGGAAAUUAAAAUCACGGGCAAAUGAGGCCGUCCUGCUCACAAUGAGAUUAGCAGGAUUCCUGAGGAAACAGCCACUGUGGGGAAUUUCUCUCCUAAACAGAGCUUUCCUGCCCUUCCCUGCUGCUCUGUAAACAGCGCUGGCUUUGGGCUGGGCUGAGCGGCGCGAUGGCAGACGUUGGGAGUGGAAAAAAUAAAGCCAUUUUAAACGGAGGUUCAAUCAACCACCAAACCCAAUGCGCUGCAGGUUCCCACUCUCCGUGCCCACAUCCGCUGCACUCGGAGCACCGGCUCCACUCCACGCUGCUCUGUGGCAGCUUUUAGGCUCAGAUGGGCACCGAGAGCAGCUCUGCACCGCUGGGGCUCAGAUCUGAAACCGCACGUUGGAGCCAUUUGCUUUGCAAGCUCUGUUCUCUUAAUUAAACACAGCCCCGCUCGCUCCCGUGUGGUUUCCAGGCUGGAAUGCGUUCGUUUCCCUUCUUCUCCCCCAGAAGCAGCUGCUCAGAGUCGCACGGAAGCACCGUUUGCUCCCAACGUUUGGGAGCAGCUUCCUAUUCAGGAAUGGGAAAGCAGGGAGGAAGGGGGAUGCGCUCAGCACAGAGCUGAGUGUUUGGGGCAAAGGAGAAAGAGGGGACCUGAGGACAGGGAGCGCCGCGAGCGUCCCCACUGUGUGCCAUGGCAGCUCUGUGCUGCUGCACAGCAAGCAAAAGGUGGAGAGAAACGGAGCUUUGCUUCAUUCCUGAGGUUUAAAAGGACCUUUUCCCAUUUUCCCCAGCAUUUCCAUGUAAUGGCUGUCAUGUGGGGCAGCACGAGGUGGGGAUGGGCUGAAAGUUGGGCUGGGAAGCAGCACGUAGCGGACCCCCAUAGGGAUCUUAGGGGGGCGAAGGGGGUCUGGGGCUGUGCUGGGCAAUGGCAUUGCAUGGGAGCACAGUUCUUUUCCAGAGCACUUUCGCUUUGGGCUGAGAAAAGCCUGAAAUGGGCUUUUCCAGAGGCCUGCAUGGCGGCGAUGCUGUCAUCCCCCAUCGUUCGCUUUGGAUGUGCCAGAAGAGGAACGCGUUUUCUGCUGGAAUUUCUUCCCACACAAGUUCCCAUAGAGCUGCAGACCCCCACAGCGCAGAGCUGCUGCCCGCCGGGCUCCCAUCGCCCUGAGCUUCUCUGCGGUCUCCCUUGUCUUGCUUUUAUUUCUCAUUGCAAAGGUGGGGAAGGGGAUCUCAGUGCCACCGCUGCGUAUUCGGCCUGCAAAACAGGGGGGAGAGGUGUUAAAACA